Long non-coding RNA from Bombus impatiens (common eastern bumble bee), 1512 nucleotides. RefSeq lists it as uncharacterized. The transcript has 2 exons. Lineage: Eukaryota; Metazoa; Arthropoda; Insecta; Hymenoptera; Apidae. The record is from RefSeq and is a predicted model, not a curated record.
ACUACAUUAUCAGCCUCUUCUUCUGAAGACUGUUGUGUAAUGCUGGCAGUUGCCGCUUCUACUUCAUCUAUUGAAUUCAUUUCACUGAAAAUAUUUUCAACUUCAAGAGUGUUCUUGCUCAUUUGCUUUAUGGAAGGAUUAACGUUAAAAUUGUUAAUGGAUUGUCUAGGUCUAGGAUCUCCUGAGCGAUUCGCAAUGGCCCAUAAGUGACCAGCUCCAUGCGGUGCCUUUGAUCCCUUCCUGAAGUGAGGAUUUAUGGAGAGAUUGUGCCGCACAGAAUUUUUCCAACGGUCAUCGUUGCUUUUGUAAUAGGGAAAGUGUUCUCUAGAUAUAAUAAGAAAAAUAAUUUAUUAAUUUUCCAAAUAUAGUAAACAAAAAUAAGUAAGUUAGGCGGGAGUUGAUAAAUUUUAUAAAAAUUGUUUUACAAUAUAGAAUUUACUAUAUAGAAAAAUUCUAAUUUUGUCACUUAUUCAAUGAGCAAUAAAUAAUCAUGUGAAUGUCUACAUUUGCAUAAUGACAGACGUUUAAAUAGUUCCUGUCACUUGUCGGUUCAACGUCGACAAGCGUGCUCACCCCACGAGAACAAUUUUCUUCACCUGCUUGCGGCGACGUCACGGAGUGUUACACACUCCCCUAAUUAAUUCUCUGUCUUUAGGAAAAGACGAAAGACCCGCUGAAACGCCCCAAGCAUAAGGCUUUAAAUAGUAACUUUAUCUGAUCCAAUAACUACAUACAUGUAUCUAAUGAUUAUGCAAACAAAAAAAGAACAAUGCGCCUUUACAUUAUAGAUUUUUAUUGAUUUUCAUUAUGGUUGGUUUCAAAUAAUAUGAAAUAUCACUUAAUUUGAAAAUUUGUUUGGUAUAUGUGACCUAAUUACCAAAAAUAAGUUAAAAAUAUCAAAAGCUAUCCAAAGUAUGAGUGCAAAAUACCCAGAGUAACAACUGAUUUCUUCCAGAAAGAAUAAAUUUGUUAAUUGUUCUAUACAGUAAAGAGAAUUUUAUAUAUCAGUUAUAUUUUAUUAAACCAUUUUGAUCCUCUUCAUUAAAUAACCAAUACCAUUAAUACAUACAUUAAAUAUAUAAAAAAGGAGAAAUCAAAAGGGAGAAAAUAAAAUAAAAGAUCAAAUGUAUCUAUAAAAAUGUCAUUUUGUAGAUUUGUAAGUAUCGAAUUCAUCUCCCUGGAAGUGAUUCAUCCUAAGUGUACUAUGUAAUACAUUCAGUAUAUAUGGUUCUCCUUCGAACCGUAGGAAAUGUAGGAAACGAGUUUCUACGAAUUUACGAGAACGUGGUCCGCGUCGAUGCGGGGUAGCUGGUCGGGGAGGGUCGCGUUCUUAGAUGGUACCCCUUGGCACCGCUGCCCUCGCUACGCAGUGGUACCAGCUGGUACCGGCUCUUUUGCUCGUUUCAACCCUCCCUCUACUCUCCACCAACACGAAUGUGCACAAUUUACUGGUUCUGUGCUUUCACCUGUUCGAUCGAAGGUUUGUCAAAUAUAGAUAAUAUAGAUAAUCGA